GAGACCUACCAACGCAACCAAAAUAUUCACAUAUAAACUUUUUCGGAUAUGCCUACGGGUCCCAUGGACACAAGAAAAAGAACACAUCAGGUCAGAGAUGGAGAUGGAGAGAGCUGGAUGGGCAGGGUGAAAUUUGUCAGGAUGGCUGCUGUUGGAAUGCAUCAGCCUAGCUGUCCUUCCUGAUGUCCUUUGGAGCUUUUAGACUGCCAUUGCGAGUACCACUGAUUGAGUCAGACAGGCAUGAAUCCCCCCCCC
Molecule: long non-coding RNA, 255 nt
Organism: Megalops cyprinoides (Indo-Pacific tarpon)
Lineage: Eukaryota; Metazoa; Chordata; Actinopteri; Elopiformes; Megalopidae
Exons: 4
Source: RefSeq, a predicted model, not a curated record